AUAUGUCCGUCGUAAUCAUUUGACGAAGCCGCACCCGAUGAACAUCCUGAAACGCCUUAAGUUUCCAUUUAUUUGAUCCAUUAAUCCCACCAUUAACAUGUUUCAUUCCACUAGCCCCACUACGUACCAUUAAAUCCAGCUGAGACUCUUCAUAUGUAACCGGCUAAAGCUCUCCUAUAAAUUGGCAUGGUUGCAGCGAUGAAGACCACCCUAUCUACGAAAACUACAAAUAUCAUCCCUGCUAAUUUCUUCACCCUGCUUGCGGAUUUGAAAGCCAGUCUCUGUUUGAGAUCCGACUGGUUCAGAUCAAAUGGUCUCGCUUCUUACUCUGCUCAACUCUUCAGCUUCGGGUCAAUUCAACUACCAGACCUUGAUUUCUAUUUUGAUAAUAGUUUAAAACCUUUUAUUUGUUGUGACUGUUUUUCCUUUCCUUUUGAUUUUAUUGUUCUGUUUUUUCUUAUUGUUCCCGUCAGACUUUCAAGAAAAGAGCACCCGAAGAACAAAUUCGUUGUUGUUGUUGGAGAUAUAGGUGGAGACAAUCAGAAUAAUAAUUAAGAAUGUAUAGAUACAUAGCCCAAAGAGUUUCAGAAAAUUAUGCAAGGAAAUAACAGUCUCUCAGUGUGUUUGACGGAAAAGCUAGCCCACUGCACCACUAGACAUUGGAAUAGGCUGGUGUGGAUUUAAGAUCGUUCUUGCCACAUGCAUAAAUCCAAGAGCCAGGGGAUAUCAUAGCUCCUAAUGGAGUGAGGGUGGUGCUAUGGCAAUGCAAGUGGAAUAUAAACGUAAAAAGAGAGCCCAUCUUUGAGUCUAAAGGUAAUUAUGCAUUGCUUACAUGAGACAUCGUCAUCACUCAUGAAAAGUAAAUGAGGCCAGGAUAUAGAGUUGUGGAACGAUCAUAAUCGGAGGCAUCAACAACUUUAUCAAGCACUCGAUCAAAAGAGCAGCCGAUGGAGAGUGGCGAGGAGGAGAACAAAGGCAAGUCCGACAAGGAAAGGAAAGAGGAGAUGGUCAUAUCCACGUUGCUUUGGUUGAAACCUGGAGCGAGAUGGAGGGAGCUGGGAUCUUUGACCGAAGAAGGGUCAUGGCAAGGUCGCUUGGGAUUGGGAGGAGCGUCCAUAACACGGACACGGAAUCAGAGAAUCCAAAGCUUUUCCGCUUACAUUCAGCCGAGAUGGAAUUGUGAAAUUAGAGAGUAGACGCGAGUCGACUUUGAGAAUACGAUCAACGAACGAACGAGGCGAUCGAUCCUGAGUUAAAUUAUCUCCGUCGAAGAGACGAGGAGUCUCUGUCCUCUUUCGUCGCCGUCGUUCGAGGCGGGUAACAGUCAAGUGUGAUUCUGAUCGACGAAUUGGAUAAUCCGAAUCCUUAACCCGAUUGUUAUUUUGUGGAUUAAUUACUUGGACUACAAUAUUGAUUUUCAACUCCAUCGAAGCCCAACUAAACAAAGGGUAAAUACUAAAUAGUAAAUACUAUAAAAUAAAGUAAAUUAGUCUAUUUGUAUAAAAAAAUACAUUUGAACCAUUUGUAUAAGAAAAUACAUAAAUAUCUUAAUUUUGAAAGUAUUUUGAACUAUUUUUUUGAUAAAAAAUUUAAAAAAAUAUUGACAAUUUAAUUUUUUAAAAUAUUAUAAAUUACUUUAACUAUUAAAUUAUAUAAAAUAAUUUAUAUAUAUAACAUUCAUCCCGCAAAACUACUAAUGAAAAUAACCGACAUUCCAUUUGAGCACCAUCAAUGUAACAGGCUGGUGUGGAUCCUAAAAUCGUUCUUGCCACAUGCAUAAAUCCAAGUGGUCACCUAUUCCUUAAUGCAACCUAUGCGACUCAUUUCUACUUUGACAAUCAAAGCGGGGUCAGAGCUUCUUCCAUGAGUCAGAACCUACAGCGAUAAGAUGUCCUUAUUACUUCCACACACUUUGUCAAACAUCUUACACUAUUUCCACUGCAGGUUGCGUGAGAGUGACGUCAAUUGGUCCUCAAGUUCAGUAAAGUAUGCAAGUGUCCAGAAAAUACAACUAUGGAUGUAUGAUGUAUCCAGGAAAUAUAACAUGUAACCGUUUCAGAGAACGCCUACGUCCUUGCAUACCAAAACCUACCUUUCCUGAUGUAUUAACCUAAAAAAGUCUUUCAUUCUCACAUUUUUGACC
Molecule: long non-coding RNA, 2143 nt
Organism: Brassica napus (rape)
Lineage: Eukaryota; Viridiplantae; Streptophyta; Magnoliopsida; Brassicales; Brassicaceae
Exons: 5
Source: RefSeq, a predicted model, not a curated record